GAUGAACGCUGGCGGCGUGCCUAAUACAUGCAAGUCGAGCGAACAGACGAGGAGCUUGCUCCUCUGACGUUAGCGGCGGACGGGUGAGUAACACGUGGAUAACCUACCUAUAAGACUGGGAUAACUUCGGGAAACCGGAGCUAAUACCGGAUAAUAUAUUGAACCGCAUGGUUCAAUAGUGAAAGACGGUUUUGUUGUCACUUAUAGAUGGAUCCGCGCCGCAUUAGCUAGUUGGUAAGGUAACGGCUUACCAAGGCAACGAUGCGUAGCCGACCUGAGAGGGUGAUCGGCCACACUGGAACUGAGACACGGUCCAGACUCCUACGGGAGGCAGCAGUAGGGAAUAUUCCGCAAUGGGCGAAAGCCUGACGGAGCAACGCCGCGUGAGUGAUGAAGGUCUUCGGAUCGUAAAACUCUGUUAUUAGGGAAGAACAAAUGUGUAAGUAACUAUGCACGUCUUGACGGUACCUAAUCAGAAAGCCACGGCUAACUACGUG
Molecule: ribosomal RNA, 497 nt
Filed under: uncultured bacterium
Lineage: Bacteria
Description: partial 16S ribosomal RNA
Rfam family: Bacterial small subunit ribosomal RNA
Source: RNAcentral